Molecule: ribosomal RNA, 434 nt
Filed under: uncultured bacterium
Lineage: Bacteria
Description: bacterial SSU rRNA
Rfam family: Bacterial small subunit ribosomal RNA
Source: RNAcentral
GAACGCGAAGAACCUUACCCGGGCUUGAACUGUGGCAGAACGAUUCGGAGACGAUGAGGCCCUUCGGGGCUGCCACGGAGGUGCUGCAUGGUUGUCGUCAGCUCGUGCCGUGAGGUGUCGGCUUAAGUGCCAUAACGAGCGCAACCCCUGUUUUCAGUUGCCAUCGGGUAAUGCCGGGCACUCUGGAGAUACUGCCACCGCAAGGUGUGAGGAAGGUGGGGAUGACGUCAAAUCAGCACGGCCCUUACGUCCGGGGCUACACACGUGUUACAAUGGCGCAUACAGAGAGUUGGUGGCAUGCGAGUGUCAUCUAAUCCUUAAAGUGCGUCUCAGUUCGGACUGGGGUCUGCAACCCGACCCCACGAAGCUGGAUUCGCUAGUAAUCGCGCAUCAGCCAUGGCGCGGUGAAUACGUUCCCGGGUCUUGUACACACC